GAUGAACGCUGGCGGCGUGCCUAAUACAUGCAAGUCGAGCGAACGGACGAGAAGCUUGCUUCUCUGAUGUUAGCGGCGGACGGGUGUGUAACACGUGGAUAACCUACCUAUAAGACUGGGAUAACUUCGGGAAACCGGAGCUAAUACCGGAUAAUAUUUUGAACCGCAUGGUUCAAAAGUGAAAGACGGUCUUGCUGGCACUUAUAGAUGGAUCCGCGCUGCAUUAGCUAGUUGUUAAGGUAACGGCUUACCAAGGCAACGAUGCAUAGACGACCUGAGAGGGUGAUAGGCCACACUGGAACUGAGCCACGGUCCAGACUCCUACGGGAGGCAGCAGUAUGGAAUCGGCCGCAAUGGGCGAGAGCCUUACGGAGCAACGCCGCGUGAGAGAUGAAGGUCUUCGGAUCGUAAAACUGUCUUAUUAGGGAAGAACAUAUGUGUAAGUAACUGUGCACAUCUUGACGGUACCUAAUCAGAAAGCCACGGCUAACUACGUG
Molecule: ribosomal RNA, 497 nt
Filed under: uncultured bacterium
Lineage: Bacteria
Description: partial 16S ribosomal RNA
Rfam family: Bacterial small subunit ribosomal RNA
Source: RNAcentral